CUUCGAUUAAAAACUGUCGAUGAUGGUUUUCAAAUAAAAUUACCGGUUUAACGCAUAACACCCAUUCGUGGAAACGAUUUCUCAGAGAAAAGUUAUAAUAUAUUGGAUGUCCUUUGAAAAAGUACAUAUUUCAUUGACGCUGACGUGCUGAUGGCCUAGUACCUAUGCCGAAAUCGAUAGUCUUUCUUAGAAGUUUUCAUCAUUGAACCUUAUUGGAGUUCCAUCCAUUGAUUAUUGAAAUUUCAUUCAUCAAAAUUAUUUGUAAAAUUGAUGGAAAUUAGAGAUGGAUUUCAUCAAGAAAAAUAAAACUCCAAAGAAUCUGAAGACUCAUCGCUAUAAAAUAAAGGGACCACAAAUUUAUGGAUGAUUACAUAUGUUGAAGGUCAUCAAUUAUCAAUCGUCGAGGGACAUAACCACAUAAGGGUAGGAACAUUAGAAACUACUAGGCACCCCACAGUUCUUACACUACAAAUGAAAUUCAGACAUCCAGGAGAAGGUAAAACCAAUAGGCGGCUUCCACAGAAGAAACUCCAAAGGAUAUCUAUUCUCCCUACUCAUUGGUCAUCUAUAUAGUGAAGAAAAUAUACAAAGGUCAGAUCAUUCCUUUAUGAAACUCUUUAAUAAUUAGAAUUCUUUGAUUGAGGCUUUUGGACAUAUAUGAAAUAUUUCAUUUUGAAUUUAUAUAGUUAUAUAAAGCUUAAUUAAUUAAAUUAGGUGGCCUUUAUCAGGUCAGAAUUUAUUUUCGAAUCUGGAAAUUUAUAUAGGUAAUCGUUUUCUACCCUGAUCCGAAUUUGCUAAUGUUUUAUUUUGUUGAAUAUUAGGUGAAAAAAAUAUUGGGUAUUGAAAACUUAAAAAGAACUGAGAACUGAGAUAGAGAAUAAUAUGAUAGAUAAUUUGGAUACAGAUAGUGAUAUUUAUGAAUUUUUCAUCCUGGAAACUCUGCUUAUACAAGAUUACAAAAAUUUACUGAAUUAUGAAUGGAUUAGAUCCAUAAGACAAUUAUAUAAUUAACAUCAAAGGUCAAUCGUUCCUAUUAGUUUAUCAUCUAGAAUUAGAAAACUUAAAAAAUGGAAAAAUACAAUUUAUCAAUGCGUACAUCUUUUGUUGAAUCCUCUAGUUCAAAUGUUCUCUUGAGAAGCAUCAACGUACCUUGAUUUACAUAGAGAAAAUGCACAGAAUGUAAUCCAUUCAAAAACAUCUUUGUUGCUAUUGUUCACAAUAAUGAUAGCGAUGUACAGAAAUUAAAUUCACAUAAGUAGGUACUUGAAUUUUAGCUUGAAAAAUGAAUAUUUUACUUUGAUUCAGUACCUAGUUGUUAUAAACUGAUGCAAAUUAUGAAAUAGAUUGUAGACUUGAUAUUCUGUGCGAGCGGUAUGGUAAUCAGUAUAGUAAUAUAGUAAGUACAUGCUAUUCAUCGAUAAUUCGUUUCGUAAUUAGACUUAGACAGUUUGAAUAACACGACAGUGAAGCUGGAGGAUCAAACUGGCACGAUUUGCAAUUAUGCAAGAAGUUCGAGAUGUUUAAUCCCCUUUAACUUUGUUACUAAAAGAGGUACAAGAAAAUGUUUUCUACAAAAUUUUCACUGAAUUGACUAGUGUUUUUAAAAUGAUUUCACAAAACGAAAUAUAUACAGAGUGGGCAACAUAUUGAUUUUAACUUCAUUUUUUCGAAUGGAACACCCUAUAUUUUUCUAUAUUUGACUAGCUCUUUUCCCCUGACUUCGAAUAUAUAACAUAUGUUUGGUUUAUCCCUCUUAUUCUGAAUUCCACAGAGUUUCAAAUUUUAAGAACCACCUGGCAUGCUCAGUUAUCAGUUUUCGAGUGAUAGGCUGCGAUAACUCAAAAUGCCCCUUUUAGAGUUAUCUCGUUGGCAACAAUAUGACAUACGUUUUUCACCAUAAAUUGGAACUCAAAAAGGGCAUUUUGAGUUAUCGCAGCCUACCACUUGAAAAUUGAUUACUAGAGCAUGCUAGGUGGUUCUUAAUAUUUGAAACUCUGUAGUACUCAGAAUAAGGGAGAAAGGCCAAACAUUUGUUAUAAAUUCGAAAUCAGAGGAAAAAGAGCUAGUCAAAUGUAGAAAAAUAUACAGGGUGUUCCAUUAGAAAAAAUGAAGUUGCAUGCAAUAUGUUGCCCACCCUGUAUAUAUUUAAUUUUUUGAAAUCAUUUUAGAAAACGCUAGUCGAUUUCAUGAAACUUUUGUUGGAAACAUUUUUUUGUACCUCUUAUAGUAACAAAGUUAAAGGGGGGUCAAAUUAUGGUGAAAAACCCGGUACAUUUUUACAUAUAAAAUUUACAAAU
Harmonia axyridis is the source of this 2297-nucleotide long non-coding RNA. RefSeq lists it as uncharacterized. The transcript is spliced from 3 exons. Lineage: Eukaryota; Metazoa; Arthropoda; Insecta; Coleoptera; Coccinellidae. The record is from RefSeq and is a predicted model, not a curated record.